Gorilla gorilla gorilla (western lowland gorilla) is the source of this 546-nucleotide long non-coding RNA. RefSeq lists it as uncharacterized. The transcript is spliced from 3 exons. Lineage: Eukaryota; Metazoa; Chordata; Mammalia; Primates; Hominidae. The record is from RefSeq and is a predicted model, not a curated record.
GGCUGGAGUCAGUUUGUGGCAGGCCUUCAGAGCCCAGGGUGUUUUGACAUCAACUUAAGUAGUUGGCAGCCAUUGAGUCAGAGAGUGAGUUGAUUAGACUGCUGUGUUAGAAAAUGAAAUAGCAACGCUGUCUAGGAUGGAUUAAUGGCUGGGACUGUUGAAAGACUAGAGCAGGGAGACCUUUCAGUAGGUUGUGCAAUCAUCUAGAAACUGGAAGGAAAAGGAGGAACGAGCUGCAAAAGAUACUGCUGAAGUAGAGUAAACAGACUUUGGCCACUGGGUGAAUGUAAAAGAAGGACAAGAGAAAGCUGUUGAUGAGAGUGAUCUGCCUGCUCCCCGCAGUUGAGAGUGCUGCACUGCAAGUGUUACCUGGCUUCUGACAUGGGCAGAUUUGCAAAGGUGGUGCUACUCACCAGGAAAGAGAAAAGAGCCACAUGGGAGCUGCAAGUUUGGCAGGCAGAAUACGUAGGAUUGGUUUAUUGUUUCUGCUUUCCAGUAUAGAAUGAUGCAUACCCUCAAGAGAAUCUGCUUGUUGUGGUUUCUGAU